UGGGGAAUAUUGGACAAUGGGGGGAACCCUGAUCCAGCCAUGCCGCGUGUGUGAAGAAGGCCUUAUGGUUGUAAAGCACUUUAAGCGAGGAGGAGGGUACUGGUAUUAAUACUACCAGGUACUGGACGUUACUCGCAGAAUAAGCACCGGCUAACUCUGUGCCAGCAGCCGCGGUAAUACAGAGGGUGCGAGCGUUAAUCGGAUUUACUGGGCGUAAAGCGUGCGUAGGCGGCUAAUUGAGUCGGAUGUGAAAUCCCCGAGCUUAACUUGGGAAUUGCAUUCGAUACUGGUUAGAUAGAGUGUGGGAGAGGAUGGUAGAAUUCCAGGUGUAGCGGUGAAAUGCGUAGAGAUCUGGGGGAAUACCGAUGGCGAAGGCAGCCAUCUGGCCUAACGCUGACGCUGAGGUACGAAAGCAUGGGGAGCAAACAGG
This 430-nucleotide ribosomal RNA is filed under the name Pseudomonadota bacterium. RNAcentral's name for it is "Proteobacteria bacterium partial 16S ribosomal RNA". It matches the Rfam family "Bacterial small subunit ribosomal RNA", at positions 355 to 776 of the family's 1533-position model. Lineage: Bacteria; Pseudomonadati; Pseudomonadota. The record is from RNAcentral.